RNAcentral lists this ribosomal RNA (624 nucleotides) under uncultured bacterium. Its description in RNAcentral is "bacterial SSU rRNA". It matches the Rfam family "Bacterial small subunit ribosomal RNA", at positions 405 to 1021 of the family's 1533-position model. The record is from RNAcentral.
UUGAAGAAGGCCUUAUGGUUGUAAAGCACUUUAUCGACGAGGACGCUACUUAAGUUAAUACCUAGAGAUAGUGGACGUUACUCGCAGAAUAAGCACCGGCUAACUCUGUGCCAGCAGCCGCGGUAAUACAGAGGGUGCAAGCGUUAAUCGGAUUUACUGGGCGUAAAGCGCGCGUAGGCGGCUAAUUAAGUCAAAUGUGAAAUCCCCGAGCUUAACUUGGGAAUUGCAUUCGAUACUGGUUAGCUAGAGUGUGGGAGAGGAUGGUAGAAUUCCAGGUGUAGCGGUGAAAUGCGUAGAGAUCUGGAGGAAUACCGAUGGCGAAGGCAGCCAUCUGGCCUAACACUGACGCUGAGGUGCGAAAGCAUGGGGAGCAAACAGGAUUAGAUACCCUGGUAGUCCAUGCCGUAAACGAUGUCUACUAGCCGUUGGGGCCUUUGAGGCUUUAGUGGCGCAGCUAACGCGAUAAGUAGACCGCCUGGGGAGUACGGUCGCAAGACUAAAACUCAAAUGAAUUGACGGGGGCCCGCACAAGCGGUGGAGCAUGUGGUUUAAUUCGAUGCAACGCGAAGAACCUUACCUGGCCUUGACAUAGUAAGAACUUUCCAGAGAUGGAUUGGUGCCUUC